This is a long non-coding RNA of Metopolophium dirhodum (rose-grain aphid), 610 nucleotides long. RefSeq lists it as uncharacterized. NCBI's taxonomy places the organism in Eukaryota, Metazoa, Arthropoda, Insecta, Hemiptera, Aphididae. The record is from RefSeq and is a predicted model, not a curated record. The transcript has 3 exons.
GUGUCCCCUGAAUGACAAAUGUGUGUCCCAAGUUUUAUAACGUUAUUUUAGUUUUGUAGAAAUAACAAACAUUAAUCAUUUACUAUAUUCUUAACUUAAUAUUAUAUAGUUACCUAUUAUGUUAACUUAAUUUUAGUACUUAUUUUAGGUCUAUACCAUGGACAAUAGUUUUUUAUAAAAAAAAAGAAGAAAAUAUGAUAAUGGGUCAAUACAAAUGCAUUAACAUGAAGUGAAAACGUGAAGUAAAUUCAUCUCAAAACUACACAACUCCAUAUCUUCCAAGUUUUUUUCCAGAAUUUUAUUACAAUGAAAAGUUGAUGAAUUUGCUUAUAGAAUAGAAUUUAGAAUCAGUAUUCAGUAUACACAUCUUACGUACACAAAUUGACACUAAGUAUACACUGAAUAAGGAACCUCUAAUAUUGAACAAGAUACCUAUUAUUCAAAACAUUCCUGGUCAAACGAUAAUAUUUCAAAAAAACACUAUUUCAAUAAUCCUAAUAUGAGUAAUGAGAUUACUUUACAAACAGUAAUGUUUUAAUCAAAAGUUGUAGAAAUAUGUUAGUAGAGAUAUUAUUUGUGUAUAAUCAAAAAUGGCUUUGCAAUGACAGUU